Molecule: long non-coding RNA, 764 nt
Organism: Leucoraja erinaceus (little skate)
Lineage: Eukaryota; Metazoa; Chordata; Chondrichthyes; Rajiformes; Rajidae
Exons: 3
Source: RefSeq, a predicted model, not a curated record
UACUCGCUGGAAUUUAGAAGAUUGAGAGGGGAUCUUAUAGAAACUUACAACAUUCUUAAGGGGUUGGACAGGCUAGAUGCAGGAGGAUUGUCCCCGAUGUUGGGGAAGUUCAGAACAAGGGAUCACAGUUUAAGGCUAAGGGGGAAGUCUUUUAGGACCGAGAUGAGAAAAACAUUUUUCACACAGAGAGUGGUGAAUCUGUGGAAUUCUCUGCCACAGAACGUGGCUGAGGCCAGUUCAUUGGUUAUGUUUAAGUGGUAGUUAGAUAUGGCCCUAGUGGCUAAAGGGGUUAGGGGGUAUGGAGAGACGGCAGGUACAGGAUACUGAGUUGGAUGAUCAGCCAUGAUUAUAUUCAAUGGCGGUGCAGGCUCGAAGGGCCGAAUGGCCUACUCCUGCACCUAUUUUCUAUGUUGCUAUGUUUCUAUGGAUGUAGGGAGAUGGAAACUGGUACUGGGGAAAUAUUUGCAUAUUCAGAAGUCAAAUUAUCAAUGGAGGAAUUGUUGAAAAGUUGGCCUGGCCUGUGAAGAGACAUUAUCAAAUUAAUGUAAAAAUAUGUCUUGCUUAUGUCUUAUGUCUUAUAGCUUAUGCUCUGGCAAUAUAAAUACAAGAAAGUAUGCAAAAAUGCAGUGAAAUCUAAUUAUUCUAAAUUUGUUUUGUUUUUUAAGAAAUCGCAAAGCUGAAGAAAAAUAUAAAACACUUAGAGGAUUCGGCAACUGACAAAGAUAACAAAAUUACAAAACUGAAAAAAGAUGCACAAACAUCAG